Molecule: long non-coding RNA, 652 nt
Filed under: Struthio camelus australis
Lineage: Eukaryota; Metazoa; Chordata; Aves; Struthioniformes; Struthionidae
Description: lncRNA (ENSSCUG00000003424.1)
Source: RNAcentral
AAUUCAUGCAAAAUGGGCUCUGAACUCCUUUGCAAUAUGCAGAUUUGUGUGCAAAUGAGCGUUACCUAUGGUGUUCACACUGAAGCGUUUUUCUUUGAUGUACAUUUCUGACAUUCUGAGAUUGUAAAGAAGAAAAUAACUUUAAAAAUUUUAAGAAACCUUAAUUGAAGUUAACAUAAAAGAAGAUACAUGGUGUUAAUUGGUCUGUUUCAGGCAUAAUUUGGGCCUUUGAGACCAUGUCCCUUACCCCCCGCCAAAGUGUCAAGACUCACAUCUUUAAUUCAACAAUCUUUGUAUUAAUUACCUCUGGAUAAGGAAUAGUUUAAAUGGAUUUUCAGCACGUGAGAGCAUCAGAUUGAUAGCUUGAAGACUUGGGUCCUCCUCUGGUUAUGAAAACGAUGCCUCCUUCUGGAUAUGCCCUGGACUGGCUGUAGGUGCUUGUCAAGGGCCUGAAUUAGCUGUUUUAAAGACAGAAUUUAUCUUUUCAUUGUCUUCAGUGGAAACUGGAUGAAGGCUGCAUACCUUACCAAAUUAAGAGGGGAGAGGCAUGAUCUUUGAAGAGCUUCCUCGCAAGUCACUGACAGAUAUCCAGUUGCACAGUUACUCUCCUGUGACGUUAUUACUGAUAGACUGCUUCUACACUGCAAGAUAA